GGGUGUUGAAUAUGUUUUUGC
This 21-nucleotide non-coding RNA is filed under the name Arabidopsis thaliana (thale cress). Lineage: Eukaryota; Viridiplantae; Streptophyta; Magnoliopsida; Brassicales; Brassicaceae. The record is from RNAcentral.